UACGUAGGGCGCAAGCGUUGUCCGGAAUUAUUGGGCGUAAAGAGCUCGUAGGCGGUUUGUCGCGUCUGGUGUGAAAGCCCGGGGCUUAACCCCGGGUCUGCAUUCGAUACGGGCUAGCUAGAGUGUGGUAGGGGAGAUCGGAAUUCCUGGUGUAGCGGUGAAAUGCGCAGAUAUCAGGAGGAACACCGGUGGCGAAGGCGGAUCUCUGGGCCAUUACUGACGCUGAGGAGCGAAAGCGUGGGGAGCGAACAGG
RNAcentral lists this ribosomal RNA (253 nucleotides) under uncultured bacterium. RNAcentral describes it as "partial 16S ribosomal RNA". It matches the Rfam family "Bacterial small subunit ribosomal RNA", at positions 524 to 776 of the family's 1533-position model. The record is from RNAcentral.